RNAcentral lists this ribosomal RNA (482 nucleotides) under uncultured bacterium. Its description in RNAcentral is "partial 16S ribosomal RNA". It matches the Rfam family "Bacterial small subunit ribosomal RNA", at positions 30 to 507 of the family's 1533-position model. The record is from RNAcentral.
AUUGAACGCUGGCGGCAUGCCUUACACAUGCAAGUCGAACGGUAACAGGUCUUCGGAUGCUGACGAGUGGCGAACGGGUGAGUAGUACAUCGGAACGUGCCCGAUCGUGGGGGAUAACGAGGCGAAAGCUUUGCUAAUACCGCAUACGAUCUACGGAUGAAAGCGGGGGAUCUUCGGACCUCGCGCGGACGGAGCGGCCGAUGGCAGAUUAGGUAGUUGGUGGGAUAAAAGCUUACCAAGCCGACGAUCUGUAGCUGGUCUGAGAGGAUGAUCAGCCACACUGGGACUGAGACACGGCCCAGACUCCUACGGGAGGCAGCAGUGGGGAAUUUUGGACAAUGGGCGAAAGCCUGAUCCAGCCAUGCCGCGUGCAGGAUGAAGGCCUUCGGGUUGUAAACUGCUUUUGUACGGAACGAAAAGCCUCUUUCUAAUAAAGAGGGGUCAUGACGGUACCGUAAGAAUAAGCACCGGCUAACUACGUG